RNAcentral lists this long non-coding RNA (308 nucleotides) under Anas platyrhynchos platyrhynchos (common mallard). RNAcentral's name for it is "lncRNA (ENSAPLG00000021124.1)". The record is from RNAcentral. Lineage: Eukaryota; Metazoa; Chordata; Aves; Anseriformes; Anatidae.
AUGACAAUUAGUGAAGUUUUCUGAAGAUGGUCAGUCUCACCCGUACAAACUGAGCGAAAAUGAGCGAGCAGCUUGGUGGUGCUUAGCUGUCCAUUGGUGUGAAACCACCACACUGUAAUUAUCACGAUCAAGGCAGAUGACGUCUGUCUACAGCCCUGUAUCUAAAUACAGUGGAACCUUUAGAGAGAGCUCCUUUCCAUUCUCUCUUUACAACCCUUACAAAGGAGGAUGACUCCGGGAGAAACUUAACCAGGUUUGUUUCCCCACCAAAGAAGAAAUAAAACAGUACAAGUGUGUGCUCUGAUUCA